Molecule: ribosomal RNA, 506 nt
Filed under: Pseudomonas aeruginosa
Lineage: Bacteria; Pseudomonadati; Pseudomonadota; Gammaproteobacteria; Pseudomonadales; Pseudomonadaceae
Description: bacterial LSU rRNA
Rfam family: Bacterial large subunit ribosomal RNA
Source: RNAcentral
AGCGAAAUUCCUUGUCGGGUAAGUUCCGACCUGCACGAAUGGCGUAACGAUGGCCACACUGUCUCCUCCCGAGACUCAGCGAAGUUGAAGUGUUUGUGAUGAUGCAAUCUACCCGCGGCUAGACGGAAAGACCCCAUGAACCUUUACUGUAGCUUUGCAUUGGACUUUGAACCGAUCUGUGUAGGAUAGGUGGGAGGCUAUGAAACCGGAACGCUAGUUUCGGUGGAGCCGUCCUUGAAAUACCACCCUGGUUUGUUUGAGGUUCUAACCUUGGCCCGUGAUCCGGGUCGGGGACAGUGCAUGGUAGGCAGUUUGACUGGGGCGGUCUCCUCCCAAAGCGUAACGGAGGAGUACGAAGGUACGCUAGGUACGGUCGGAAAUCGUGCUGAUAGUGCAAUGGCAUAAGCGUGCUUAACUGCGAGACCGACAAGUCGAGCAGGUGCGAAAGCAGGUCAUAGUGAUCCGGUGGUUCUGUAUGGAAGGGCCAUCGCUCAACGGAUAAAAGG